AUGGCUCUUGCACACUUGAGUGAGCUGGAUAAUGAGCCUGGAAAGCCUGUCCUGUGCUUGGCCAGUCCCAGAACCCACCCAGGCAUGAACCACGACUGGAAAUACUCCUCUGUGCUGCCUAGAGAUGCUGCUGUUACCUGGCCCCAGAGCCAGCGCUCCGCAGCCGUGCCUGCCGCCUUCGGGAUUCCUCCUGCCCCUCCUGCCCUCCCCAGCCCAGCCGCAGAGGGGCUGGAAGAGUGGGUGAAGUUGCUCCAACCCCUCCAUCCCCUUCUUCCUUCUCCUCCUCCUCUCUCCCAGGAAAGGUAAGAGAAGCAGUGGCUACUCUCCAGUUGCUCCUGCACCUUU
Molecule: long non-coding RNA, 345 nt
Filed under: Parus major (Great Tit)
Lineage: Eukaryota; Metazoa; Chordata; Aves; Passeriformes; Paridae
Description: lncRNA (ENSPMJG00000002649.1)
Source: RNAcentral